UGCCUAAUACAUGCAAGUCGAACGAACUCUGGUAUUGAUUGGUGCUUGCAUCAUGAUUUACAUCUGAGUGAGUGGCGAACUGGUGAGUAACACGUGGGAAACCUGCCCAGAAGCGGGGGAUAACACCUGGAAACAGAUGCUAAUACCGCAUAACAACUUGGACCGCAUGGUCCGAGUUUGAAAGAUGGCUUCGGCUAUCACUUUUGGAUGGUCCCGCGGCGUAUAAGCUAGAUGGUGAGGUAACGGCUCACCAUGGCAAUGAUACGUAGCCGACCUGAGAGGGUAAUCGGCCACAUUGGGACUGAGACACGGCCCAAACUCCUACGGGAGGCAGCAGUAGGGAAUCUUCCACAAUGGACGAAAGUCUGAUGGAGCAACGCCGCGUGAGUGAAGAAGGGUUUCGGCUCGUAAAACUCUGUUGUUAAAGAAGAACAUAUCUGAGAGUAACUGUUCAGGUAUUGACGGUAUUUAACCAGAAAGCCACGGCUAACUACGUGCCAGCAGCCGCGGUAAUACGUAGGUGGCAAGCGUUGUCCGGAUUUAUUGGGCGUAAAGCGAGCGCCGGCGGUUUUUUAAGUCUGAUGUGAAAGCCUUCGGCUCAACCGAAGAAGUGCAUCGGAAACUGGGAAACUUGAGUGCAGAAGAGGACAGUGGAACUCCAUGUGUAGCGGUGAAAUGCGUAGAUAUAUGGAAGAACACCAGUGGCGAAGGCGGCUGUCUGGUCUGUAACUGACGCUGAGGCUCGAAAGUAUGGGUAGCAAACAGGAUUAGAUACCCUGGUAGUCCAUACCGUAAACGAUGAAUGCUAAGUGUUGGAGGGUUUCCGCCCUUCAGUGCUGCAGCUAACGCAUUAAGCAUUCCGCCUGGGGAGUACGGCCGCAAGGCUGAAACUCAAAGGAAUUGACGGGGGCCCGCACAAGCGGUGGAGCAUGUGGUUUAAUUCGAAGCUACGCGAAGAACCUUACCAGGUCUUGACAUACUAUGCAAAUCUAAGAGAUUAGACGUUCCCUUCGGGGACAUGGAUACAGGUGGUGCAUGGUUGUCGUCAGCUCGUGUCGUGAGAUGUUGGGUUAAGUCCCGCAACGAGCGCAACCCUUAUUAUCAGUUGCCAGCAUUAAGUUGGGCACUCUGGUGAGACUGCCGGUGACAAACCGGAGGAAGGUGGGGAUGACGUCAAAUCAUCAUGCCCCUUAUGACCUGGGCUACACACGUGCUACAAUGGAUGGUACAACGAGUUGCGAACUCGCGAGAGUAAGCUAAUCUCUUAAAGCCAUUCUCAGUUCGGAUUGUAGGCUGCAACUCGCCUACAUGAAGUCGGAAUCGCUAGUAAUCGCGGAUCAGCAUGCCGCGGUGAAUACGUUCCCGGGCCUUGUACACACCGCCCGUCACACCAUGAGAGUUUGUAACACCCAAAGUCGGUGGGGUAACCUUUUAGG
Molecule: ribosomal RNA, 1436 nt
Filed under: Lactiplantibacillus pentosus
Lineage: Bacteria; Bacillati; Bacillota; Bacilli; Lactobacillales; Lactobacillaceae
Description: bacterial SSU rRNA
Rfam family: Bacterial small subunit ribosomal RNA
Source: RNAcentral